Molecule: ribosomal RNA, 433 nt
Filed under: uncultured bacterium
Lineage: Bacteria
Description: partial 16S ribosomal RNA
Rfam family: Bacterial small subunit ribosomal RNA
Source: RNAcentral
AACGAACGCUGGCGGCAUGCCUAACACAUGCAAGUCGAACGAGACCUUCGGGUCUAGUGGCGCACGGGUGCGUAACGCGUGGGAACCUGCCUUUAGGUUCGGAAUAACUCAGAGAAAUUUGAGCUAAUACCGGAUGAUGUCUUCGGACCAAAGAUUUAUCGCCUUUAGAUGGGCCCGCGUUGGAUUAGCUAGUUGGUGGGGUAAAGGCCUACCAAGGCGACGAUCCAUAGCUGGUCUGAGAGGAUGAUCAGCCACACUGGGACUGAGACACGGCCCAGACUCGUACGGGAGGCAGGAGUAGGGAAUAUUGGAGAAUGGGCGAAAGGCUGAUACAGCAAUGCCGCGUGAGUGAUGAAGGCCUUAGGGUUGUAAAGCUCUUUUAGCCGAGAUGAUAAUGACAGUAGCGGGAGAAUAAGCGCCGGCUAACUCCGUG